Molecule: long non-coding RNA, 402 nt
Filed under: Nicotiana benthamiana
Lineage: Eukaryota; Viridiplantae; Streptophyta; Magnoliopsida; Solanales; Solanaceae
Description: long non-coding RNA (NBEN_LNC019745)
Source: RNAcentral
GGAGCCAUUUCAGGUGUCUGCAAAUUCAGCUGCUAAACCGGCAUUGCAGCCUACUACGAAGGCGGUUACACAUCCUUUUCCAGCAUAUGCACAAUCCACAACAUCUCAUCAACAAACUCAAUGUGUAAAUCCAUAACCUGCUUUGCAGAAAUCCGUGGCGGCAGAUGCAACCGCUUCUACAUUGCCAACUCAUCAUGUCACUCAUGGAGGGGGACAAUCAACUUGGCAGCCUCCUGAUUGGGCUAUUAUGUAAAUCCACAACCUGCUUUGCAGAAAUCCGUGGCGGCAGAUGCAACCGCUUCUACAUUGCCAACUCAUCAUGUCACUCAUGGAGGGGGACAAUCAACUUGGCAGCCUCCUGAUUGGGCUAUUGAGCCACGUCCAGGUGUUUAUUAUCUUGAG